ACGAGAGAACAUAUGCUCUCUUGGUGGCGAGUGGCGGACGGGUGAGUAAUAUAUCGGAACGUGCCUAGUAGCGGGGGAUAACUACUCGAAAGAGUGGCUAAUACCGCAUACGCCCUACGGGGGAAAGGGGGGGAUCGCAAGACCUCUCACUAUUAGAGCGGCCGAUAUCGGAUUAGCUAGUUGGUGGGGUAAAGGCUCACCAAGGCAACGAUCCGUAGCUGGUUUGAGAGGACGACCAGCCACACUGGGACUGAGACACGGCCCAGACUCCUACGGGAGGCAGCAGUGGGGAAUUUUGGACAAUGGGGGAAACCCUGAUCCAGCCAUCCCGCGUGUAUGAUGAAGGCCUUCGGGUUGUAAAGUACUUUUGGCAGAGAAGAAAAGGUACCUCCUAAUACGAGGUACUGCUGACGGUAUCUGCAGAAUAAGCACCGGCUAACUACGUGCCAGCAGCCGCGGUAAUACGUAGGGUGCAAGCGUUAAUCGGAAUUACUGGGCGUAAAGCGUGUGUAGGCGGUUCGGAAAGAAAGAUGUGAAAUCCCAGGGCUUAACCUUGGAACUGCAUUUUUAACUGCCGAGCUAGAGUAUGUCAGAGGGG
Molecule: ribosomal RNA, 598 nt
Filed under: Alcaligenes sp. PM-36
Lineage: Bacteria; Pseudomonadati; Pseudomonadota; Betaproteobacteria; Burkholderiales; Alcaligenaceae
Description: bacterial SSU rRNA
Rfam family: Bacterial small subunit ribosomal RNA
Source: RNAcentral